Long non-coding RNA from Coffea eugenioides, 655 nucleotides. RefSeq lists it as uncharacterized. The record is from RefSeq and is a predicted model, not a curated record. Lineage: Eukaryota; Viridiplantae; Streptophyta; Magnoliopsida; Gentianales; Rubiaceae. The transcript has 3 exons.
CGCAAAGACCCUAAACGGACCUAGCAUGAGUUGACACUUAGACUUAACCAUUAAGUCACCAAUUCUCUCCACUUUCAUUACAAUACCUGAUUUCACUCUCUCUCCUCUCGUCACUCUCUAGUUGGCCGAAGAUGGGAAGAAAAAAAUCUAGCCAAAAUCCUCACAAACUUGCUUCAAUCCACUUCCAAAUUUCAUCAUCCAUUAGAGGGCUUUGAUCCUAGCUUGGAAGAGGGGGCUGUUCAUCGGUUUUCUUGGAGGAAUUUCGGUCAAGAUUUCUGCCCUAAAGCUGUCCAACUAAGUUCUUGAGGAUCUCAAGAGGACUUCGAGGGAACUCCCGGCGAAGCGUCUUAGAGCUAAUUUCUCAAACUUUGACUUUUGAUACUUGGUUUGGAAGUGGAAGUUCUGAGGCUUAAUUAGUGACCCCCAAAAAUAAUUUUUCCCCCACAGGGCUCGAGGCCAAAGAAAGCGCUUGUAUUGAGUUAUUAGUGCCUGAAGGGAUAUCUCAUAUAUAAUUUGAAUUCGAUUCACUUGAUAAGUAUUUGAUGUAAUUAUUUGAGAACUGAGGACUUUUGUCUUAUUCGGGGAAUGAUACCCUUACUUGAGAUUUGUAAUGUAUCUUAUCUCGUUCUAAGUUUGAAAAAUGUUAUUUCGUUUA